AUUGAACGCUGGCGGCAUGCCUUACACAUGCAAGUCGAACGGUAACAGGUUAAGCUGACGAGUGGCGAACGGGUGAGUAAUGUAUCGGAACGUGCCCAGUCGUGGGGGAUAACUGCUCGAAAGAGCAGCUAAUACCGCAUACGACCUGAGGGUGAAAGCGGGGGAUCGCAAGACCUCGCGCGAUUGGAGCGGCCGAUAUCAGAUUAGGUAGUUGGUGAGGUAAAGGCUCACCAAGCCGACGAUCUGUAGCUGGUCUGAGAGGGCGACCAGCCACACUGGGACUGAGACACGGCCCAGACUCCUACGGGAGGCAGCAGUGGGGAAUUUUGGACAAUGGGCGCAAGCCUGAUCCAGCCAUGCCGCGUGCGGGAAGAAGGCCUUCGGGUUGUAAACCGCUUUUGUCGGGGAAGAAAAGGUUCUGGCUAAUACCUGGGACUCAUGACGGUACCUGAAGAAUAAGCACCGGCUAACUACGUG
This 477-nucleotide ribosomal RNA is filed under the name uncultured bacterium. RNAcentral describes it as "partial 16S ribosomal RNA". It matches the Rfam family "Bacterial small subunit ribosomal RNA", at positions 30 to 507 of the family's 1533-position model. The record is from RNAcentral.